RNAcentral lists this ribosomal RNA (910 nucleotides) under uncultured bacterium. RNAcentral describes it as "bacterial SSU rRNA". It matches the Rfam family "Bacterial small subunit ribosomal RNA", at positions 83 to 990 of the family's 1533-position model. The record is from RNAcentral.
ACUUCGGUCCUAGCGGCGAACGGGUGAGGAAUGCUUGGGAAUCUGCCUAGUAGUGGGGGAUAACGUUUCGAAAGGAACGCUAAUACCGCAUACGCCCUACGGGGGAAAGGGGGGGAUCUUCGGACCUCUCGCUAUUAGAUGAGCCCAAGUCGGAUUAGCUAGUUGGUGGGGUAAAGGCUCACCAAGGCGACGAUCCGUAGCUGGUCUGAGAGGAUGAUCAGCCACACUGGAACUGAGACACGGUCCAGACUCCUACGGGAGGCAGCAGUGGGGAAUAUUGGACAAUGGGCGAAAGCCUGAUCCAGCCAUGCCGCGUGUGUGAAGAAGGCCUUCGGGUUGUAAAGCACUUUAAGCGAGGAGGAAUGGCUCUGGGUUAAUACCCUUGAGCAGUGACGUUACUCGCAGAAUAAGCACCGGCUAACUCUGUGCCAGCAGCCGCGGUAAUACAGAGGGUGCAAGCGUUAAUCGGAAUUACUGGGCGUAAAGCGCGCGUAGGCGGUUGUAUAAGUUGGGUGUGAAAUCCCCGGGCUCAACCUGGGAAUUGCACUCAAAACUGUACGGCUAGAGUGUGGGAGAGGAAGGUAGAAUUCCAGGUGUAGCGGUGAAAUGCGUAGAUAUCUGGAGGAAUACCGAUGGCGAAGGCAGCCUUCUGGCCUAACACUGACGCUGAGGUGCGAAAGCAUGGGGAGCAAACAGGAUUAGAUACCCUGGUAGUCCAUGCCGUAAACGAUGUCUACUAGCCGUUGGGGGACUUGAUCCUUUAGUGGCGCAGCUAACGCAUUAAGUAGACCGCCUGGGGAGUACGGUCGCAAGACUAAAACUCAAAUGAAUUGACGGGGGCCCGCACAAGCGGUGGAGCAUGUGGUUUAAUUCGAUGCAACGCGAAGAACCUUACCUGGCUUGACAUGUC